RNAcentral lists this ribosomal RNA (459 nucleotides) under uncultured bacterium. Its description in RNAcentral is "partial 16S ribosomal RNA". It matches the Rfam family "Bacterial small subunit ribosomal RNA", at positions 28 to 523 of the family's 1533-position model. The record is from RNAcentral.
GAUGAACGCUGGCGGCGUGCCUAAUACAUGCAAGUCGAGCGGUAAGGCUUCUUCGGAAGUACACGAGCGGCGGACGGCUGAGUAAUGCAUAGGAACGUACCCCAAACUGAGGGAUAAGCCACCGAAAGGUGGUCUAAUACCGCAUGUGCUCUUCGGAGUAAAGCUACGGCGGUUUGGGAGCGGCCUAUGUUGGAUUAGCUUGUUGGUGAGGUAAUGGCUCACCAAGGCGACGAUCGAUAGCGGGUCUGAGAGGAUGAUCCGCCAGACUGGAACUGAGACACGGUCCAGACUCCUACGGGAGGCAGCAGUAGGGAAUUUUCCACAAUGGGGGCAACCCUGAUGGAGCAACGCCGCGUGCAGGAUGAAGGCCUUCGGGUUGUAAACUGCUUUUCUCUGUGAUGAUUAUGACAGUAGCAGAGGAAUAAGGAUCGGCUAACUCCGUGCCAGCAGCCGCCGUAA